Molecule: long non-coding RNA, 2689 nt
Organism: Pogoniulus pusillus (Red-fronted tinkerbird)
Lineage: Eukaryota; Metazoa; Chordata; Aves; Piciformes; Lybiidae
Exons: 3
Source: RefSeq, a predicted model, not a curated record
CGCCCCCUUCACGACCGCCCCAAAACCCACCCUAGGAGCCGGGCGCGGGGAGGAGGACGGGAGACAGUGCCCCGCCGGGGAGUCCCACCCCACGGCGGCACCGGGGGAGGGGACUGUGGGUGCGGGGAAAGCAGCUGUCAGCGCCUGCCCCUCGGCCCCGCACCCCCUCUUUCCAUCGCCCCCCUCCCCUGUCCGCAUCUCUUCUUAUACCUUCCUCUCCCUAUAGUCCCUCCUCCGGCACCCCCCGGCCCCCAUGCCUCCCUCCCCUUCGGCGCACAGACGCUGCCAGCUCCAGACCCCGCUUCUCUGCUGGGAGAUGCCCGGCCACUCCCUCCCGGCCCCGCCGCGCACCGCCCGGGCUGGCCCCGGCGUCGGGGGGCUGCGCCCGCGGCCGCUCGGCGGGUGGGGCGGGAGGAAAGAGAGAGAGCCGAGGAGGACGGCAGCAAAGAAGAAGAAGGAAGGGAAAAGGGACAGAUGCAAGUUGCUGUUGCAAAAAGAAAAGCUUACAGUAGAAACUCAUCAGAUACUUGGCAAGCUGGUACCUACAGGACUGUUGGAAAUACGUUUCACUUCCCAGUGAGAUGCAAGACAAUUAAAUACACAUGUCCAUUUUAAGAAUAAAACCCAGAAGCCAAGACCUCAAAAGAGCCUCUGCCUCUCUUCUCACCUGUAAGAGAUGUACACUUCAUUUCCAACACAGUUUGUCACCCAUCUUUCAGCAUGAAAAUCCUGCCCGAGGAGUGAGCUCCAUCUGUGCUGCUUCUGUGCUAGUACCAGCGUUUGGAUGAGGGAUUCCCACAUCUCCAUCGCUUGGAACACCUGCUGAAGUCUCAGCCUUCCUGUGUCACGCCUUCAGCCUGUGAGCUGCCCAGCAGAAGAGGGCUGCUGCUGCCUCUGGAUCUCCUCACGCCCUGGUUUCCUAUCUCCCUUCUCAUCCGGGAAGAGGGGAGACGCUCGCCGUUAGCAGCAACCUCGGCUUGCUCAUGAUGCUGGUAAUGGUGACAAGUCACGGAGGAAGAUCACUCAAUUAAAUCUCUCAUGAGCUAAACCCUAGCCUAGGAGGAAAACAGAACAUCUUAAUCCUUCCCCAUCUUCGAUUCACCCAUUCAGUGCUACAGGUGUGCCAUUUCUUUCAGCUAUUUGUUUCAGCUUCCUCACCCUGUCUCCCAAGUCUAUCUUACCAGGGGGGUCAGCAUCCUGCCUGGUUCUAAUGCUGCUUUAAGUGCAGGUCAAAGUUUCCCCUCUCCCCCUUUUGUAGCCCUGAAGUGGUACUUAUUUUUCCAAGCAACGUUCAAAGCUGUGGUGACUUCAGCAAAAUCAGAGGGUCAGACUGAAAGCCAUGGAUCAGACACGUACAGAGACUUUGCUAUAUGGCAGCACCUGAAACUGAGGCUGUGUCAUCCGUAGCCUUACCUCUGUUGUACAAGCACUACAUCACAUCAGCUGGCAUUGAAAGGACACGUUCCUUACUGCUGUGCUCUGCCCAGCCUGGGCUCAUCCAGCUUGACAGAGCAGGAGCUGUUCACAAACACCACUUUGUGUGCAGUUCAGCUCCUUCUCCAGCCAUGCUUUCCCAGCAGUCAGCCAUAAAACAAAUGUCAGUCAUUAGCUGGCCAUAAUGAAGGUUCAAUUUAGCAUCUGCCUAGAAAGAAAGAAAGAAGAUGGGAGAGGAAAAAAGCUUUAUGGUUAAUAUAGUAAGAGUGGAGAAGAUGGCAGUGAUCACAUGCACAUCUAUCUUCAUGAUUAUCUGUUUUAUGGGCUAGAGAAGUCUUCUAGUAGUGGAGGGAGGCAGUGCAUCCCUAGAAUUCACAAGUAUUUUCUCUGGUUUAGGAAAUUUACUCUCCUAGGUGUUGGGCAUAGACCUUCCUAAGGAUCCCUUCCACACAAGAAAGCAUGCAGUAAACAUGCCACACAGGAACGUGCAUGCAUCGGCCCCAGGAGUCUCUCUGCUUCUGUUCCUUUUAUGUUGCUGUGCAUUAUAGAAUCAUAGAAUCAGUCAGGGUUGGAAGGGACCACAAGGAUCAUCUAGUUCCAACCCCCCUGCCAUGGCCAGGGACACCCUAUCCUAGAUCAGGCUGGCCUUAUCUUAACACCAUUUCUUUGCAUGUAUUAAACACCUUGAUAUAAAGAAGCGGAACUGAUGGAUGCUGUAUAGAAGGACAUAUAACUGACACAGCCCAUUGCUCCCAGUUCUGCUCUGCUAAAUGACUCUGCAUUCAGAAGGGCAGUGAAGGUGGUCUGUGUAUCAGCCUGAGCUUUAACAUCUCUAUUGCUAUUAGCAUUUUACUAAAGGUCAAGAAUUCUCCAUCCAGUCACUAAGAAGAUCACACACAUGUGGCAUGGGUCUGGUGAGGCUUGACACUGCAAGUCCUUGCAGAGAUACCUGUAAUUUGGGAAGGGAUUUUAUUAUCAUUGCACACAGGAACUCAUUGGAUGGCAAUGGAGGCAUCACACUUGCAAGCAGGAGAGCCAGAUGGGAGUCACUCUACUCUUCACCCUUCAGUGGCUGAUCAGGUCUUCCCAGUUCAGUCGUGCUGAGCUGGGCUGCAGCCUUUCCAGUGCAUGUUCAUCGGUUCCUGUGCCUCAUCGUGGUUUGAAGCGAAAGAGUACCUGCCAGUGAGAACAAACAGUAUUUCUUGCACAGACUCUUUUCCUCCAGGAGAUGCUGUUAAUAAACGUUGAGGCUGGA